CAAGAGACGAUGAGGUCAAGAAAAACAAAAUGGUCUACUUGAUGGUGCAGAGGGAUUAAGAUCACUAGAAAGCAGCAUGUUGCUAGACCACCGCAGGACCCUAGAAGCCACUGCAUGCUGUGACAAGGGGUUGGAUGGUGGAACACAUCUGCUUCAAGCUGCCUGACUGAAUACCGGGGCCUUUAGUGAUACCUUUGAUUGCAGCAAGAGCCUCCAUCUCUGUCUCAUAGCCAUUUAACAUGGACUGUAUGUAACAACUCAAAUUCAUACCAACUGCUUCAAACACAAGAACUGACUUUAUAUUCACUUGUCCCUGGCUGUGUAGACUGGUAGCCCAAUUCUGAUCAUUUUUCCUCUAAUUGGUCUUUUGACCAAUCACAUCAGAUAGGUUAAAAUACAAAUUAGUGGGGGACAAAAAGAUCAGAAUUGGGCUACCAGUCUACACGUAGCCUAUUUGUCUUAUUCUUCAGUCUUGUGUAGUGUACCGUUUAAAAAAAAUAUUGCAUAAGCAAACUGUCAUGCCUUUUCACCAGAAAAUGUAUGAAGACAGAUAAGAGACGAUUACAUAGAUGGUUUUGGUUUUCUUUACCUCCUCCUCACUUGCUUAUGUGGGUAGUUACUUCCUGAUGAUUGAUGGAACAAUCCAGCCAAUGGUUAGGCAGCUGUGGUUUUGGCAGAGGGAAUUGAUUGGUCAGGAGUAAAAGGUCAUUUCUCCAGAGUGCAAAUCAAGAUUUUACUUGCAAAUUUCUUCCUACAAAUUGCCAAAACUUUCUACAGUGUGACAGAACUCUGAGCAUGCGCAGAUUCAAAAUCUGCAUGUGUAUUUUUGAUUCAUAGCAGAAUAUUUAUAGUUGUAAAUGGACUUAAUAUGUUUGCAAAUCUUAUUGAAUGUAUUCAAAUGUCAUGUUACAAGUUUGCAACUGUUGUUAAAUCAUGAUACAAGCUUGUGAAAUUAAAACAAUUUCC
Molecule: long non-coding RNA, 966 nt
Organism: Oncorhynchus keta (chum salmon)
Lineage: Eukaryota; Metazoa; Chordata; Actinopteri; Salmoniformes; Salmonidae
Exons: 3
Source: RefSeq, a predicted model, not a curated record